AAUCCAUGGUGUAGGCACUUCUAAAUUAGUAUCUUGAAACACUCCCAUGCUUCUUAAAGGCUUUCUCCUUUUGAUUGCUUGAACAUCAAAAUUUCUCUUCUUAACU
RNAcentral lists this small nucleolar RNA (106 nucleotides) under Gossypium hirsutum (cotton). Its description in RNAcentral is "Plant small nucleolar RNA R71". It matches the Rfam family "Plant small nucleolar RNA R71". From Rfam's summary of the family: R71 is a member of the C/D box family of snoRNAs containing the C (UGAUGA) and D (CUGA) box motifs. Multiple nearly identical copies of this snoRNA have been identified in Arabidopsis, and it is thought to function as a 2'-O-ribose methylation guide for 18S ribosomal RNA. RNAcentral also lists the same sequence under 1 other name. The record is from Rfam by way of RNAcentral. Lineage: Eukaryota; Viridiplantae; Streptophyta; Magnoliopsida; Malvales; Malvaceae.